ACUUGGGGCACUAGGCACUCAAGCUUCAUGAAGACUUUCUACAUCAAAGAGGUAUGUAUUCUAUCUUGCUAUAGUCAUUGUUUUGUAUGCUAGAUUAGGAUAAUACCUUGGAAGUUCUUAUUUGCAUGUAUAAUAGAGAAAACAUAGAUCCAAGGUAUUUAGGGUUGCAUGUACACUUAGGAGUGUUAGAAUGCUCAAAACCCAACAGUGGUAUCAGAGCCUAGGCUUGUUUUCUUGUUAUACCUGCAAUAGAAGCUGAAAAAACGAAUCUGGUGCUGUCUGGCCAUCAGACUCGGCGAGUCCAUCAGGAGACUCGACGAGUCCAUGCCUAAAAAGUGAUGAAUUCGAUCCAACUCGCCGAGUUGGUUCAUGCACUCGACGAGUUGGACCCCCAGACAGCAUAUUUUCGAGUUUUUUGGCUAGAAAUGGACUAGGAACAUUACCCUAAGUUGUUUUUGAACUUAUAAACUUGUUUUUGAUGUGGUAAUGUUCAUGCUAAUCCAUUUUCAAAGAUAAUUGUCAAUAGAUUCAUGUUUUGUAUUAGUUUAAGGUUUAGACUAAUUACAUGAAAAAGUUUGAUUUGAAUUAUCUUGUUCUUAUGAGUUGCUUAGAUUAAUAGAAAUGUUGAGUGAAAUAGUUGUUUUCAAUCCAUUUUAAUCUAAGAGUUGAGUAUAAAAUGUGUUUGUGUAACUUGUCCUCAAGUUACAUGAAGAGUCACAUUAAAGACUCAUAAAACUCAUAAAAGUUGGCAAUGGUUACAAAAUGAAGAGUCUUGUGUCAUUGAAUAAUUUUUUAUGACUCCAUAACUUGUCCUCAAGUUAUGGAAGUUCAAGAGUCACUUCAUUAAAGAAAAAUAUGUAACCAUAAUUAAAUCCAUAAGUUAUAAAAUAAAGAAAAAGUUAGUUCUUUUAUUAGUUUAAAGUCUUCCAUAACUUGUCCUCAAGUUAUGGAACUUGAAGAGUUUUUGGAUUAAAACUACUUUAAACACAUAAGUUAUGGAAUUAAUUAGUUUUGAAUAGUUUCAAAACUUGCCCUCAAGUUUUGGAAUUUGAAAAGUUUUCAAGUAUGAAUACUUUAAUUCCAAGUUAGCCCUUAGAAUUUUAAAAGUUAAAAUUCAACCCUUAUACUUUAUAAUAUUAUAAGUUAAUAAUAUAUAUAUGUAUAAGAGUAAAGUCAGUCUUACCGCUAGUACGCCUCAUUCACGAAGCCGGUCUAUAAGGUGGGUAUAAGGUUGUUGCCUAUAAAAUGGCAACUUAAUGGGUGUCCACUCUCACCCACCGCUUGCUUGACUGGUGGAGGGUCGUUAGCCGAACGGGUUUGACAGGACUAGAAUUCUCCCUUCAUUAAAAGUAUUAAUGAUAAUACUAAGUAACUAAACUCUUAAUAAUACCCAAUCUUAGUUACUUAGGAAAAAUGUGAAUAAGGUGCUAAUCCAUGAAAUUACACUUUACACUUUGUCUAAGUCGUUAGUGGAGCGUGUGUGGUUAACCGGCACACUAACUUGGACUUAACAAGGUAGGUAAAGGGUGACUUAAUAUUUAUCAUAGUAUCGAUGGAGCGUGUGUGGUUAACCGGCACAUCGAUUGAGGGGUAAUUUAUUAAGGGUACCAAGUGAUUUGCAUGGUUACUUCACACCUUGUUUUGUGAUCCUCGGCAUCCCAGUCACAAAACCUGAAGGGCACACUCGAGAUUGAAACAUGCCUUUGAAAAGUUCAAUGAAUCUCAAAGAUCUAGGAGUUUCAAAACCAAUUAAAACCUAAUAAUACAUUUCGUUUAUCUUGGUGGAAAUUGGUGAAUCGUCAUUCACCUACCUUCAAAUAUUUUAUAGCUUGGAUUACGGCAUACCUCUUCUAAGUUAUAAAAUAGUUUGUUGGGUCCUAGCCUUAAUAUUUCAUAUUGGGUGUCAUAUUAAGGACUUUAAAUCAACUAUCUUGAAUAUCUCCCAAAAGAUGUCUGGUUUAGACACCUAUGAUCUUCCCAAAUCUCUUGAAACAAGGUUUCCUAAUGAAGAUGAUGUCCCAUGGAUAUCAUACUUCUUCACCUCUUCAAAUUAUUCUCCCUAACCCACAAGUUCUUGAAAAGUUUAAGGUCACUCAGGCCCUAUUAGCAAGGCAAGGUCUAGGUGUGGUCACAUCUUGGAGAUGUAGUCACAUAUUGACAAGCCGGGAGAGUUGGGUGUCAAAGUCUUGAGAAAGUUGGUGGUUCAAUCACUUUCUAAGUCACAUAGUGAGUUCCUUUGGGACACCUAUGAAACAGACUAUGACAAGACCCUUAAUGAUCUUAUCUAUUUGCUAAGAUCAACUUCCUAAAACUUUAUGGACAUUGACAAUGAUGACAUUGGAUAUCCAGUAAAGCAUUCUCUUCCCAAUGGAAAGGGAUCGGCCAUAGUCAACUCGGUUGACCAAAUGGUAAAGAGAAAAGCUAAGUCUGUGAUAGUCCCGUGUACCAUUAUCAAAGGGUCCAUAUGUUUAUAUUGCCAAAGGAAGGGGCAUUGGUUGCGAAGCUGCCAAAUUUACCUAAGGAUGUUAAAGUCAAUAAGUUUGACUCUACUUCAGGUAAAGUCCACUAUCUAACUCUGUUAAGUUUCUAUUCUGAGAUUCUUGAUACAUGAUGUGACUGGGUCACAUGGUGAUGUUUUAAGAAUCAAAGAAAAGUGAAGAAACUUAAAGAAAGAAUAUGCUGAAUCUGAUGGCGUAGAUGGAUUUCUAUCGCAUAGUUUGAAGAUCGGAUUCUUGAGCUACUUCUUAGGAGUUAUGAGAUAUUGCUUAGGAAUAGAUAACAACAAGUUUUCAUAUGGAUUGUAAGGAUAAGUUUUUCCGCAAAGUUUUAAAAUAAAAGAAAAUUUUUUUGAUUUUAUUUAUUUUAAAAUAUCCUUACAAUGGCUUUUGAGGAAAAAUUGUUGCUUAUAUGAUUCCAUUAAGAGCAAGAGUGGAAAUAUGAAAUUGAUUCUUUCAUUUGUGGUAAUGUCUAGAUUUACCAAAUAAGGAAAGAUUCUCAUCACCCAAGUUUCAAUUGGACCGGAACUUGGAAUCAUGCAAGUUGUAUAGCAUGAUGAAUGAGAACUUUCAAGUUUUGGAAAAUUAAGACUAAUUACUUGUUCACAUGGAUGUGUGAGUCAAGUAAAGGACUAAGGGAUCGAGUACACAUUCUUGUGCACUGAUUAAGUCCACCACUAAAGAUCGAUAAGAAGAAUCAAAUAAGGCAGAAGGAUAAAAGUUUCUCAAAUCUGAAAAGAUGGGAGAGUACUUUAGUAUCAGUUUUGUGAUCAUCUUAAUGAUUAAGAAACCAUAUCAAAAUUAGUUCUCUAAGGAAAUCUUAGUGCAUUCUUAUGACUAAGAAGAGGAACUUGAAUUGUUGAAAUGGUUAAAUCAAGAAGAUGAGUCAUACUUCGUUCCAAUACAAGUCUUAGAGUCAUACUCCAAGAUUGUCAUUUGAGUGACAUGUCUUAAAGAAGGUUUAAAACACUUGUCAAAUGUAAGAGUAAAAGUUUUCUACUCUUGUACAUUUGAAAUUGGUAAGUUGUGAUGUUUUGGAUAAAACAAAGACCAACUUAGGCCAAUUGGGUAAAGUGUUUUUCUUGAUUAGAAUCCGCACUAUCUCUUGGAUGUUUGACAAGGGAGUCUUAUAUGUCAAGAGGACAGUGGGAGUCUUAAAGGUCUUGAAAGUCUCAAGAAAUAAUCAAGAAUAAAACCUAAAGUUCUUCACUAGCACACGACUUGAGGUUUAUAACCUAUCGUGUUGACAUAUCUGUGCCCAUUCCAGUUAAAGUUGGCUUUGCAUAUGAGUUCUUAGAGUUCUCAGUUUGUUGCAUAACAACUUGGAAGCAAUGGCAGGCCCUUGAGCUGCCAGGUGGCAAGAAGUUAAGAUUGAGUUCAAUCCAUAUGGUUUUGGAUUUGUCAUUAUCUUUGUCUUGUGAUUAUGGUUUGACAAAUUCAUAUGGGUAGGAACUCAUACACCAUAUAAAUCUAAGUGUCAUAAGGUUUCUCUCCGAUUCAUGAAAAUGAUGGUGAGGAAACGCUUUCACUAAGUAGAUUUUACGAAGAUAUCAAUUGUGUUAUUUGCAUUUUCAAAAGUCGUUAGUGGAGCGCGUGUGGUUAACCGGCACACUAACAUGGACUUGUGAGAAAUGGCAAAUGCCUAAGCAAUUGAGACCAUGAUUACGGUAUCCCUUUUCAUGGUUCUUGAAAUUGCUUAGACACACAGGUGAGCUAUCUACGGAAAGGGUGUAUGAAUCUAAAUUUCAGACUGUCCAGCUGAUUUCUGAGUACAUGUCAAAGCUAGUGGGAGCAUAAGUGUUAUGCUAAUAAUCAUCAUGUUAGUGGGAGCAUGAUAAUUAUGAUAAGUAUUGCAAGUUAGCAAUGUUAAUUAUAGAAAACAAAAGUUUCAAUUGGGAAAAAGUUGUUUUGCUAUAAUUAAGGGAGAGGAAAUUAUGCUUCAUCUCAAAUCUAUAAGCUUAGAUCGUGAGGUUUUAAUCAUUUAGUCAAGGAUAUAUAUGAAUUUCAUGUUGGAAUGGCUCAACAUAAGGAAAUUCUGUAUAUGGGUCCAUUAUUUGCGUUCUAAAAUUCGAUUAUGAUUACGGCAUCCCUUUUCAUAAUCUGAAUUAUGAGAACUUGGCAAAUUGAAAUGGAAAUAUUAUAGCAAAAGACUGGUUUAGUCUUUAUGUAAGACAUCAUGAAUCGUGUCCCAUAUGCUUCGGAUAUAGGAUCGAUUACAUGUGCUAUAUUCAUCCGUUCUAAAAUUUUCCAAAUGCCUGGGGCAUUAAGAAGGGAAAAGGUUUAGAACUGGAUAUGACUAAAAGGAUUAAACAAUUGUCGAGGACAAUCUAAGGUUUACCAAAGAUUGGUUACUCAAGGACAAUUGGAAGUAUAGUGAUAAUUCUGGAAGGACCAUAUUGACAUAAUCUGUAAGGAGGCAACUCUUGUUCAGAAGUGAUAGUCAAAAUGGAAUCUGGAAAUGUUUCAAAGUUAGAAUUUUCAAUCUGUGUAAGAUUAAGGAAACUUAAUGCAAGAAGGAUAUUUCCAAGGAGUUGAUCUCCUUUGGAAUACUCUGUAAUGAUUGUUGCCAAGUCUUUGUGACUUUGUGCAUAAUCAUUACAAGAGGAUCAAUGCAUAUAAGUUUAGAAUCUAACAGAUUUCAGUAAAUGGCAUGAAUUUGGAAUUCUUGCAUUUGCAGUAAGGAUUUGGGAGUGUGAAAAGAGAAUCAUUGAAGUUAUGUUCAAUUGAUCUAGUUCACAAAGUAAAGAUCAUAGACAAACAUAGUAUGCAUACUUGGUGUGUGGCAUGACUAGUGUUUAAGAAAACAUAGUGUACAUGCUUGGAGCAUGGGACAACUAUUGUUUUAAAUUCAAGAAUAAAGUUGAUAGCUGAAACAGUAUACAAUGAAUAAUGUGUAAUCAUAUGGUGAUAAAUAAAAGGUGUUUUAUUUAUGUUCAAAGGGUUGAUACCAUAUUGGAUUCAAUUAUUAUUGUGUUUCAUUUUGCAUGUUUUGACUUCCCGAAUAAACUGGGUUAUUCUUCCGGAAUGACUAAGUUAUUCAAACCAUCCACAGUCGGUCAUAUGUUGGAAGUAGAUAUGAAUUAAGACUGUCAUGGGUUGGCUUGUAGAGGUCUAAGGUGUUGGACAAAGGGCUACAACACUCAUGAGUGCUCAUAAGUUCUGAGUAUUGGAUUCAACCCGCGCUCAUUGGAAUCACUUCAUGGAUUUUAUCACGAGUGAUCAUGAGACGAUAAUAUCUUAUAUUCUUCAAACCUAGAGAUAUGAGUUGUUACUAUGAGUUGAUAGUACAUUGAUUGCACGAAAACGCAUUUGGUAACUCGGUGCUAUAAAACGUGCCUUUGUGUAUGAUUCAACAAGUAGUAGAACAAGCCAUAUGAGUCGAAGUUUAUCCAUUCCUUUUACCUUCGGGAUAAAAGCGAUAUCUGUGGGCCCCUCGAUGAUUUGAUGAUGACAAAUGGAAGUGCUCGGCCGGGCCAGGACUGAUUUGAUUUGUUCAAUUAGUCAGUCGUCAUAAAUCGGAAAUCGGGAAACAACAAAUGGACAGAGAGAAUGAUUAUAAUCCAUGUCUCAGUCCAUAUGAUAUCUAGAAUGGAGGAAUAUAUGAUCCCUUAUCUAAUGGACAAGUCAUUGACAAAGGUCAGAGUUCAUCUACAAGGUCAGAGUUCGACAGAAGCUUUUGAGAGCUACGAUUGCCAGUUGGUUCCUGAAGUCAUACGCAAUAAUAGUUUUAGACUUAUCCAAGUGGGAGACUGUUGGAUUAAUGUCUAAGUCCAUAACUAUAAUUGGUAAGACUUGACCCGACCCGGCAUGGUCCAUUUGGGUUGCAUACCAUCAUGCACUUGGAUAGACUAUAAUGAGAGAAAUAAGACACUUAUGGUUAUUAAUAUAUUAUAAGUUCUAGUAUAUUAAUAAUAAGAAUAAUAAGAUUAUUUAAUUAGUAUUGAUCAAGAAUUAAUCUAGGAUUAAUUAAGUGAUCAAAAGAAGACUAAUUAAAUAUAUGGGUUGAUUGUGUAAAUCAUCCAUACUUGUAUAGUGGGCUAAUGCUCCAUGGAUAAUCAAGUUGGGCUAAAACCCAUAGGAUUGUCCAUGGAUGCUCCAUGGUGUAUUUGAACCCAUGGAUCCAAGGAAAUGGAAAGUCAUGACAAUUAGGGUUUACCCUAAUUGUAACACUAUAUAAAGAUCUUAUUCUUGACAAAAUCAGCCACUAGUGUGAGUAAUAGAAGGGCUAGCCGAUUUCAUGAAGUGUAGAUUUCUCUCAAGUUAUUCCAAGUGUAUUUGGUGUUGUGUGAACCAUUUGAGGUGUCACACUUGGGGCACUAGGCACUCAAGCUUCAUGAAGACUUUCUACAUCAAAGAGGUAUGUAUUCUAUCUUGUUACACUCAUUGUUUUGUAUGCUAGAUUAGGGUAAUACCUUGGAAGUUCUUAUUUGCAUGUAUAAUAGAGAAAACAUAGAUCCAAGGUAUUUAGGGUUGCAUGUACACUUAGGAGUGUUAGAAUGCUCAAGGACCGUUGACAAAGACAACUCCUUGAUUCUCAAG
This 7034-nucleotide long non-coding RNA is filed under the name Lactuca sativa (garden lettuce). RNAcentral's name for it is "long non-coding RNA (LSAT_LNC003984)". The record is from RNAcentral. Lineage: Eukaryota; Viridiplantae; Streptophyta; Magnoliopsida; Asterales; Asteraceae.